GAUGAACGCUGGCGGCGUGCCUAAUACAUGCAAGUCGAGCGAACAGACGAGGAGCUUGCUCCUCUGACGUUAGCGGCGGACGGGUGAGUAACACGUGGAUAACCUACCUAUAAGACUGGGAUAACUUCGGGAAACCGGAGCUAAUACCGGAUAACAUGUUGAACCGCAUGGUUUAACAGUGAAAGACGGUCUUGCUGUCACUUAUAGAUGGAUCCGCGCCGCAUUAGCUAGUUGGUAAGGUAACGGCUUACCAAGGCAACGAUGCGUAGCCGACCUGAGAGGGUGAUCGGCCACACGGGAACUGAGACACGGUCCAGACUCCUACGGGAGGCAGCAGUAGGGAAUCUUCCGCAAUGGGCGAAAGCCUGACGGAGCAACGCCGCGUGAGUGAAGAAGGUCUUCGGAUCGUAAACUCUGUUAUUAGGGAAGAACAAAUGUGUAAGUAACUAUGCACGUCUUGACGGUACCUAAUCAGAAAGCCACGGCUAACUACGUG
RNAcentral lists this ribosomal RNA (496 nucleotides) under uncultured bacterium. RNAcentral describes it as "partial 16S ribosomal RNA". It matches the Rfam family "Bacterial small subunit ribosomal RNA", at positions 28 to 507 of the family's 1533-position model. The record is from RNAcentral.